Molecule: ribosomal RNA, 459 nt
Filed under: uncultured bacterium
Lineage: Bacteria
Description: partial 16S ribosomal RNA
Rfam family: Bacterial small subunit ribosomal RNA
Source: RNAcentral
CUACGGGUUGCUGCAGUAAGGAAUAUUGCGCAAUGGAGGCAACUCUGACGCAGCCAUGCCGCGUGCAGGAAGAAGGCCUUAUGGGUCGUAAACUGCUUUUAUUUAGGAAUAAACCCCCGAACGUGUUCGGGGCUGAAGGUACUAAACGAAUAAGCACCGGCUAACUCCGUGCCAGCAGCCGCGGUAAUACGGAGGGUGCAAGCGUUAUCCGGAUUUAUUGGGUUUAAAGGGUGCGCAGGCGGGCUAUUAAGUCAGUGGUGAAAUCCCGGGGCUCAACUCCGGAACUGCCAUUGAUACUGAUAGUCUUGUGUUUGGUUGAAGUGGGCGGAAUGUAGCAUGUAGCGGUGAAAUGCAUAGAUAUGCUACAGAACACCAAUCGCGAAGGCAGCUCACUAAGCCAAAACUGACGCUCAUGCACGAAAGCGUGGGGAUCAAACAGGACUAGAUACCCGGGUAGUC